CACGGGAGGCGGGGUUCUACGCCCCGCCCACAGGCGAAGCUGGAGUCGGGCCGCCCCUCACGGCUCCGCAGCUGGGUGGGCUCCGAGCCCGGGCCGGGCACAUCUGGAGGAUCCCAGCUGAAACAAGGGGCGCCUUCCGCAUCCCGACCAUAUCUGGAAGGCCCCCGACUCCAGCCAGGCGAUUCCAGCCGCGUCUGGGCCUAUCCCGCACUCGCUGCCUCACAUCUGGGUGCUUGUAUGUUCCUACCCCGGGCACAUCUGGAUGAGCCCCCAGUUCCCAUCCCAGCCACAUGUGGGCUACUCAACUUCAGUCCUCCGCCAUCCCCUGGCCACAUCUGGGCGGUUCCUCCCUCAUUCUGACCCUGCAACCCCUGCACCCUCCUCCCCCAGCUCCCCCCCUCCUCUCUUCAACAUUUGGGCUGCUGCGCCCUUAAACCAUAGUUUAAUAUGAAAUAUAACAAAAAAAAUGAAGAAAUAGAAUGAAAUCUACUUUAUUCCUUUUUGCAGGCAAAUCCUGCCCCGUAUUCCUGCUCUGAACCUUUGUCGCCGACCACAAGAAGGUCCCUGAGUUUUACGUGGGCCACAAUGAAAUUAUGACCAUCCUGGGUUUCUGCGCCUCAGCACUCCCAAGAAAUUGUGAAUGACGGAGCCAUGGGGGUGUCAAAAGCCAGCGAGGUGAAGAGCAGCAGCAGGUGGGUACCAUGGGGCAUGGCAGGGAAUUUUGGAGGGGCUCCUGCUUUGUUAUCCCACUGGUUUUCCUAGGAGUUUCAUGCUCAAGCAGAGAAAUUGCUCCAGAAUUCCUUUUGGGAAGCAUUUUUUGGUGCUGCUGGGCAUAAGGAUUAGGAAGUAUGGCAUCAUGCCAUGGUUUGUGGUUACCACCAAGGGGUUGGUUUCAGUGGGAUCAAUUCUUCCUUAUCCCAGGAAGCGAAAGAAUGAGUUGGAAAACGAGCAGGACAAGCCAAAGGAGCUGGAAUGCACAGAGAAGCCUUCCACGGUAAAAGGGAAGAAGAAAGAAAAAUCAAAAGCCAAGGAAAAGCCACUGCAGGAGAACAUCAUCAGCAGCUCCCUGGAGCAGGAGGCUGUGGAUGGGAUCAGCCUUGGCUCGAGCCUCUGGAAUGGGAUCCAAGCUGAGGAGGGAGCUGCACCUGGGUCGGAGGAGACCAAAGCAACCUCCCCUCAAGGGCCAGCAGUGGGGCUGGAAGGCCCUUCCAGGUGAGUUGGGUAAUUUUUUUGAUUAUUUUUCUUCCAGGGAACUGGAAUUUUGUCCUUUUUUUUCCCUUCUCCCUGUGGAGCUGCACAAUCCUGGUUUUCCCUCCUGGAUCGCUGGUGCCUUCCUGGAGCAUCUUCUCCACAUCCUGGUGUUUUCAGUGACUUUAAAGCUUUC
Molecule: long non-coding RNA, 1384 nt
Filed under: Junco hyemalis (dark-eyed junco)
Lineage: Eukaryota; Metazoa; Chordata; Aves; Passeriformes; Passerellidae
Description: lncRNA (ENSJHYG00000003431.1)
Source: RNAcentral